AGCUCGUUAGCCCAGUGGAAGAGCGACGGGCUCAUAACCCGUAGGACGCUAGAUCGAAACUAGCACGAGCUA
This is a non-coding RNA of Calycina marina, 72 nucleotides long. NCBI's taxonomy places the organism in Eukaryota, Fungi, Ascomycota, Leotiomycetes, Helotiales, Pezizellaceae. The record is from the annotation of a GenBank genome assembly.